This 459-nucleotide ribosomal RNA is filed under the name uncultured bacterium. RNAcentral's name for it is "bacterial SSU rRNA". It matches the Rfam family "Bacterial small subunit ribosomal RNA", at positions 340 to 786 of the family's 1533-position model. The record is from RNAcentral.
UACGGAAGGCAGCAGUGGGGAAUAUUGCACAAUGGGCGAAAGCCUGAUGCAGCUAUGCCGCGUGUAUGAAGAAGGCCUUAGGGUUGUAAAGUACUUUCAUCGGGGAGGAAAAAACAAAACUAAUAAUUUUAUUUCUUGACGUUACCCGAAAAAGAAGCACCGGCUAACUCCGUGCCAGCAGCCGCGGUAAUACGGAGGGUGCUAGCGUUAAUCAGAAUUACUGGGCGUAAAGAGCACGUAGGUGGUUUUUUUAAAGUCAGAUGUGAAAUCCCUGGGCUUAACCUAGGAACUGCAUUUUGAAACUGAAAUACUAGAGUAUCGUAGAGGGAGGUAGAAUUCUAGGUGUAGCGGUGAAAUGCGUAGAUAUCUGGAGGAAUACCUGUGGCGAAAGCGGCCUCCUAAACCGGAAUACUGACACUGAGGUGCGAAAGCGUGGGGAGCAAACAGGGAUUAGAUACC